UUCCUUCAAGCUCGCCAAAUCAUGUAACUAUUAUUUUCUCUUAGCUUUUCUGUGUGUUUUCCGAGAAAGUGUUUGAUCGUAAGUAAAACAAAUGAAACCGAUGAUGUAAUGGCAUGGUGGUUUAUUUAUUUGUUUUUGUUCCGCUGUUUGCUAAAGGAGUUGUUGCUGCCUUUUCUGGCUCCAAUUGGAAUGAUGCGAUCACUGUUUUAUUCUCUUUGCAAUUAACACUAUUUUUGGAUUAUGGUUUGUGAUGGUUUCAUUGGUAUGGUUGGUGAUGGUUUUUAAGGCUGCUUUUCACACCACCAAAUUAAUGGUUUGGGAUGUUUCAAGUUUUUGUAUUCCCAUUUUUUAUUAAUGUAUAUUUUAGUGAUUAAUUAAAAAAAUAAAAUGUGUCUUUAAUUAUUAUUGGUAUGAUAACAUUAUUCUUUUUUUUUUCCCCACUCUUUUUGGGUCGCAAUUUCCUGAUGGAUAAGAAGUAAUUUGUGCUUAGUAGGAUGUUGUUUCAAUUUA
This 510-nucleotide unclassified non-coding RNA is filed under the name Hevea brasiliensis (rubber tree). The record is from RNAcentral. Lineage: Eukaryota; Viridiplantae; Streptophyta; Magnoliopsida; Malpighiales; Euphorbiaceae.